RNAcentral lists this long non-coding RNA (1472 nucleotides) under Equus asinus (donkey). Its description in RNAcentral is "lncRNA (ENSEASG00005032450.1)". Lineage: Eukaryota; Metazoa; Chordata; Mammalia; Perissodactyla; Equidae. The record is from RNAcentral.
UGCCUUUUUUCCACUGAGCCCCUCCGUCUGGAGCGGUCUUUGACUCAAUCGCGGAAGAAUGUGCACUAUAACAAGCGAGGGGCUGCCUGUGUGUUUAAUCGGAGGUGCCGAGUACGGGGUGGGGUAAUGGUGCGGCUGUGCUGAACGUGUCCGGACUGUGUGUUGUAUCCGUGGGCCCACUGCUGGCUGUAUGAACACCACAGGGUUGUGUGUGUGGUGUGUGGAGGGGAUAUUGUGGGACUGUGUGCCCACUGCGGGGGUACAUGUCUGUGUGUGGGCAUGUGGAUGUGUGAUUGUAUAAUCCUGGAGGCAGUGAUUAAGAGUGUGGUGAUCGUGCCCGCUGUGGAGUGUGUGUGCAUGUAGUUGACUGUGACUGUGACUGUGUUUGUGGGGUGUGUGCAUGGUCCUGUGUGUGUAUGCCUGAGUGACUGGGGGUUGAUGUGUGUGAGUGGGGAGGGUGCUCAGAAGCCGAUGUGUGACGUGUCCUCUGUGGGCAACUGGGGGGAAGCCAUUCUGCUGAGUUUCCGCGUGUCAAGAGCUCCAGCAAGCGAUCUAGAGGGGCAAGGAGGCUGGUGAGGGAUGCCAAGCAGGGCUCUCCGGCACACUGCUUCAAGGGAGCCAGGGGACAAAUCCAAGCUGUGGCGGCGGCGGGCCUAAAACCUGCCUCUGCACUAACUCACCGUGUGACCUCAGGAAAGUCACUCUGCCUCAGAGAUGGUUUUCCUCUCUGUCGAAUCAGAUAGCACUGUUUACCUCAGGUUUGCCGUGAGGAUGAACUGAGAACACAGAGCAUUUAGUCGAGUACCUGAUGCACUAGGAGACUGGCCCUGAGCUCACAUCCAUGCCCAUCUUCCUCUACUUUAUAUGUGGGAUGUCUGCCACAGCACGGCUUGCCAAGCAGUGCCACGUCCACACCCGGGAUCCGAACUGAUGAUCCCCGGCCACUGAAGAGGAACGUGCACAUGUGACCACUGUGCCACCAGGCUGGCCCCUAACAAUUGUUUUGAAAACUCCCUUUUCUCCCUCUUACUCUCCCUGAAUCUGCAACUGGGGACUGACUUACUGCGGUGUGUCCCUUCAUUCAUUCAUUCACUUCAAUAUUUAUGAAGCCAAACAGUGUGCUAGAUCCUAGGAAUACAGAGACUAGGAAGUCAUUAAAGCAAAACAGUAUCUGUUUCUUUGUUGUUGUAUCCCUGGCCCCUAGGUUUUCAAUAAAUAGUGACUGAAUGAGUAAAUAGAUGUUAUUUUCUUGAGCAACUACUACAUGCCAGGUGCUAAGCUCAGCAUUGUAGCUGCAUUGUUGUAAUGAAUCCUCAGAAUCACAGCCCUAUCACACAAGGCCUGUAUCCUCCAAUUCAGUAUCCUGUCUCCACCAGUGACUGAAUUAUUUUUUAUCUUCAUCGUCGUCAUUAUGCCUGACCUCCAGAGGCUUAUCUUUUUUUUUUUUUUCUUGAGGACGAUUAGCCCGGAGC